Molecule: unclassified non-coding RNA, 726 nt
Filed under: Hevea brasiliensis (rubber tree)
Lineage: Eukaryota; Viridiplantae; Streptophyta; Magnoliopsida; Malpighiales; Euphorbiaceae
Source: RNAcentral
GCUGAAUCCAGAGCUAGGGUUCAAACCUUAUCCUCUCAAAUCCCUCCAAACCCUACCCUCCCUCCAUCGAUUCUCAGGCAAUGGCGUCCACUUUUAGCACCAUGUCUAUGAUUGGUUCUCUUUCUGGUUCCAGUAGCCUUGCUGGAGACAAGAGGCUUUCAGCCCCUUCUGGGAAGUUAUCCUCCCUUGCCUCAAUUCCAAGUUCAUUCCGUGGCAGAGGGCAGAACUUGCAUCUGCAGAAAAGAUCCAACUCUCAGAUCAGGGCUGCCAAGGAAUUGUACUUCAACAAAGAUGGGUCAGCUAUUAGGAAACUGCAAAUUGGUGUCAAUAAACUAGCAGACCUAGUUGGGGUUACCCUCGGCCCCAAAGGCCGGAAUGUUGUUUUGGAAAGCAAGUAUGGAUCCCCGAAAAUUGUCAAUGAUGGCGUUACAGUUGCAAAGGAGGUUGAGUUGGAGGAUCCUGUGGAAAACAUUGGUGCUAAGCUUGUUAGGCAGGCUGCUUCAAAGACCAAUGAUUUGGCCGGGGAUGGAACCACUACUUCUGUUGUUCUUGCCCAAGGGUUGAUAGCUGAGGGUGUUAAGGUGGUUGCAGCAGGUGCAAACCCUGUUCAGAUUACCCGUGGUAUAGAGAAAACAACAAAAGCUCUGGUAGCUGAGCUUAAGCUAAUGUCAAAAGAGGUUGAAGACGGUGAACUUGCAGAUGUUGCUGCGGUGAGUGCUGGAAACA